RNAcentral lists this ribosomal RNA (740 nucleotides) under uncultured bacterium. RNAcentral describes it as "bacterial SSU rRNA". It matches the Rfam family "Bacterial small subunit ribosomal RNA", at positions 8 to 796 of the family's 1533-position model. The record is from RNAcentral.
AGAGUUUGAUCAUGGCUCAGAACGAACGCUGGCGGCAGGCCUAAUACAUGCAAGUCGAGCGCCCAGCAAUGGGAGCGGCGGACGGGUGAGUAACACGUGGGAAUAUGCCCCGAGGUACGGGACAACUCAGGGAAACUUGAGCUAAUACCGUAUGAUCCGGCAACGGCAAAGAUUUAUCGCCUUGGGAUUAGCCCGCGUCCGAUUAGCUAGUUGGUGAGGUAAUGGCUCACCAAGGCACCGAUCGGUAGCUGGUUUGAGAGAACGACCAGCCACACUGGGACUGAGACACGGCCCAGACUCCUACGGGAGGCAGCAGUAGGGAAUCUUGGACAAUGGGGGAAACCCUGAUCCAGCCAUGCCGCGUGAGUGAUGAAGGCCUUCGGGUUGUAAAACUCUUUCGACGGGGACGAUAAUGACGGUACCCGUAGAAGAAGCUCCGGCUAACUUCGUGCCGGCAGCCGCGGUAAUACGAAGGGGGCUAGCGUUGUUCGGAAUUACUGGGCGUAAAGCGCGCGCAGGCGGCCUUUCAAGUCAGGGGUGAAAGCCCAGAGCUCAACUCUGGAACUGCCCUUGAAACUGUCAGGCUUGAGUACGGGAGAGGUGAGUGGAAUUCCCAGUGUAGAGGUGAAAUUCGUAGAUAUUGGGAAGAACACCGGUGGCGAAGGCGGCUCACUGGCCCGUUUCUGACGCUCAGGCGCGACAGCGUGGGGAUCAAACAGGAUUAGAUACCCUAGUAGUCC